Long non-coding RNA from Cebus imitator (Panamanian white-faced capuchin), 2930 nucleotides. RefSeq lists it as uncharacterized. The transcript is spliced from 2 exons. The record is from RefSeq and is a predicted model, not a curated record. Lineage: Eukaryota; Metazoa; Chordata; Mammalia; Primates; Cebidae.
CCAACUUUUUCCCCUGAUCAACAGUUGUUAAAGAAAAGACAACAGGCCCAAAAAGGUGUCACUCAUGCUAAGGUUCCAUGUCACCAAACAGAAACCUAAGUUGUUUACUUAGAAGAUCUGACCUUCCAACAAAUCAGAAGAGACAAUAGCUAAAUUCCAUUAAGCCAGCAAGAUUUCACUUAUAUCCCUGUGAGGAAAGUAACCUUGAAAUGGCCAAUUCGCUUUUUGUUCCUCGUUCCUGCCUUCCUGCACUUUUUUCUGCCUAUAAAACUCGCCCACUUUGUUUAGCUCAUUGGACUUCCUUCUAGUUUGUAGAUUGGAUUCUAGUUUGUAGAUUGGUUCAUGAAUCACUGUUAAAGCCAAUCAGAUCUUUGAAACUCUGUUGAAAUUUUGUCCUUGACAAAGUACAUAGAAUAGUAUGUAAAAGGGAGAAAAAUUUCUCUAUAAUCCCACUGCUCAUAAAUAUUUAGUGCAGACUAACAUUUUGAUAUUUUCUCAUUAGUCUUUUUUCUCAGCUUUAUUGUUUUGGUAGUUGAGAUUAUACUUUAUUACAUAUAUUCAGGCACUAAAAAUGUUUUAUAAAAUCCUGAGUUAUAUUAAAAUGUAGGGGUUUUGGCUGGGUACAGUGGCUCACGCCUGUAAUCCCAGCAUUUUGGGUGGCAGAGAUGGGUGGAUUACCUGAGGUCAGGAAUUUGAGACCAGGCUGGCCAACAUGGUGAAACCCCAGCUCUACUAAAAAUACAAAAGUUAACUGGGCAUGGUGGUGUGUGCCUAUAAUCCCAGCUACUCAGGAGGCUGCAGCAGGAGAAUUGCCUCAACCCGAGAGGCAGAGAUUGCAGUGAGCCGGGAUUCCACCACUGCGCUCCAGCCUAGAUGACAGAGUAAGACUCUGUCUCAAACAAAUAAAUAAAAUUUAGGGGUUUUGUUUGUUUUGAUGUACACAUCAUUUAAGAUGUUAAAAACUAGAUUAAACUUUACAAAUAAUUUUCUAAUGUAAAUUAUCAUCCCAAAUUCUAAUCCCUUCUAAUGAUAUUCAUUAUAAUAUUUAGUAAAGAAUAAAUAGACUUUAAUGUUGAGUUCUCCCUGAUGGCAAUUUCUGCAAGUGAUUGCAGGGAACACAGUGCUACUAACUUAAUGGUCUCUUAACAACUAUGGUAAAAAAAAGUUCCCAAAAUAAUGUUCAAAAAGCUAAACAUAGAAUUACCAUAUGGCCCAGCAAAUUCCUCUCAUGGGUGUAUUCCCCCAAAGAAUGGAAAACUGGGACUCAGACACUUGUAUGGCAAUGUUAAUUGCAGCAUUAUUCACAGUAGCCAAAAGGCGUCAGCAACCCAGGUGACCAUCUGGAUAAACAAGACUUAGAUUGGUGGCCUUCCCAACCCAGCCUCACUGAGUUAGCUGCCCCUCUUCUGGGUUCCCGGAAUACCCAAACACACCCCUGCUUAAAACCAAGCAUGUCAAAUAAGGACCUGUUUAUCUCUCCCCUCUAUCUAGAUCAGUGCCUGACUCAGAACUAACAAUGACAAAUACUUGCCCAAUGACUAAAGGGCCACCUUCUUAGGCAAAAUCUUAUAGUGACUUCCUGGUACCUACAGAAAAAAAAAAGUUCAAAUUCUAGCACCUGGCUUAUGAGCUGCUUGAAGAGAAAGGUGGGAAGGUGUGCUGCCUUUCAGGUUUUCUACUACCCAACCUCGUCUCCCAGCAGCUCUCCCAGGAGACCUCUGUUCUGUGGUUUCCUGAAGAUGCAGGCAUGAACCAUCAGGUUCUGUGCAUCUGCUCUGAGCCAGGUGCUAUGUGAGAACGUGUUGUUGGUCACCCUCGGUGGGCUUCCUUCUGACCUCAAGCCUUGGCAUAUUCAUUCACCUCCCCAGCCUCUUCCCUCCUUGCCACUGAUCUAAAUUCUACCUAUUUUUCCAUAUGGGCAUUUCUACCAAUAUUUUAGUUCACCUUUUUUCACUUCAAAUUCUUAACAUUUCGAGAACAGAGGUCUUUUAAUUUUCCUUUUCACUGGUAGGCUUGGAGGUUAAUUAUAGUCACCCUAUUAUGCUAUGGAACACUAGGUCUUACUCCAUGUAUCAAACUAGUUUUGUACUCAACCAUCUCCUCCUUACCGGCCCCUCCCCACCACCCUUCCCAGCCUCUGGUAACCAUCAUGCUUCUCUGUAUGAAUUCAAGUUUGUUUCUUUUAAGUGAGACCAUGUGGUAUUUGUCUUUCUGUGCCUGGCUUAUUUGACUUAACAAGUCCUCCAGUUCUAUCCAUGUUGUUGCAAAUGACAGAAUUUCAUUAUUUUUAUGGCUAAAUAAUAAUCUAUUGUGUAUAUGUACCAUAUUUGCUUUAUCCAUUCAAAAGAAAAGAGUGAUGAAAAGAAUGGAACUGGAAUGUUUGUUUGUUUUUGAGACAGAGUCUCACACUGUCACCCAGGCUGGAGUGCAGUGGCAAUCUUGGCUCACUGCAGCCUCCCCUCUAGGUUCCAGCUAUUCUUCUGCCUCAGCCUCCCAAGUAGCUGGGAUUACAGGUGUGUGCCACCACACACAGCUAAUUUUUGUAUUUUUAGUAGAGACAGGGUUUCACCAUAUUGGCCAGGCUGGUCUUGAACUCCUGACCUCAAGAGAUCCACCCACCUCAGCCUCCCAAAGUGCUGGGAUUACAGGUGUGAGCCACCGUGCCCUGCCAGAACUGGAAUGUUUCUAACACAAAGAAAUAAUAAAUGUUUAAGGUGAUGCAUAUCCCAAUUACCCUGAUGUGAUCAUUACACAUUGUAUGCUUAUAUCAAAAUAUCACAUAUUCCCAUAUAUAUGUACAACUAUUAUGUAUUCAUGAUAAUUAAAACUAUAUUUUUUUUUGGUCAGGCACGGUGGUUCAUACCUGUAAUCCCAGUACUUAGGGAAGCUGAGACGGGAGGAUCACUUGAGGCAAAAAAAAAAAAAAAAAA